RNAcentral lists this ribosomal RNA (99 nucleotides) under Clostridioides difficile. RNAcentral's name for it is "partial 23S ribosomal RNA". It matches the Rfam family "Bacterial large subunit ribosomal RNA", at positions 1 to 99 of the family's 2925-position model. The record is from RNAcentral. Lineage: Bacteria; Bacillati; Bacillota; Clostridia; Peptostreptococcales; Peptostreptococcaceae.
GGUCAAGUUAUUAAGGGUGCAGGGCGGAUGCCUUGGCACUAGGAGCCGAUGAAGGACGUGAUAAGCUGCGAUAAGCUUCGGGGAGUUGCACGUAAACUU